CCUACGGGAGGCAGCAGUAGGGAAUCUUUCACAAUGGGCGAAAGCCUGAUGGAGCAACGCCGCGUGCAGGAUGAAGGCCUUCGGGUUGUAAACUGCUUUUAUAAGCGAGAAAUAUGAUGGUAACUUAUGAAUAAGGAUCGGCUAACUACGUUCCAGCAGCCGCGGUCAUACGUAGGAUCCGAGCAUUAUCCGGAUUGACUGGGUGUAAAGAGUUGCGUAGGUGGCAUAAUAAGUAGCUAGUGAAAUCUGGUGGCUCAACCAUUCAGACUAUUAGCUAAACUGUUAAGCUCGAGACCGUUAGGGGUAACUGGAAUUUCUAGUGUAGGAGUGAAAUCCGUAGAUAUUAGAAGGAACACCAAUAGCGUAGGCAGGUUGCUGGGACGGUUCUGACACUAAGGCACGAAAGCGUAGGGAGCAAACGGGAUUAGAUACCCUAGUAGUC
RNAcentral lists this ribosomal RNA (442 nucleotides) under uncultured bacterium. Its description in RNAcentral is "partial 16S ribosomal RNA". It matches the Rfam family "Bacterial small subunit ribosomal RNA", at positions 338 to 795 of the family's 1533-position model. The record is from RNAcentral.